RNAcentral lists this long non-coding RNA (600 nucleotides) under Elaeis guineensis (African oil palm). RNAcentral's name for it is "long non-coding RNA (EGUI_LNC034136)". The record is from RNAcentral. Lineage: Eukaryota; Viridiplantae; Streptophyta; Magnoliopsida; Arecales; Arecaceae.
AUUGGAUCAAGUUUGACAGCCUUUCGAAUUCGAUUUGAUUCGGGCUCAAUUUGAACUCAAUUUGGAUCUAAUUUGAACUAAAUUGACCUUGACUCUUUAAGUUUAGGUUUUCUAGGCUUCUCUCUCCAAUUGGCCGAUCAGAAAGAGGAGGGGUGAUGGUUUUCUCACAUUCUUCUCUUGGUGUGCGCAUGAAAUAUAAGGAGAUGCAAGUUUGCACUUCUCCUUGUUUGUUGGGACUCUUCUUGAUAAGUAAUGAUUUGAAUUUGAUUCAAAUUAGAUCUUCUCAGAUAUUGGCAUGGAAUGAAAGGAAAUUUUGUGCGACAAAAAUUAUAGAAGGGGUUUUAUUUUGGCAUGAAAAAUAGAACACGUGUGUUUUGUGCGCUAACAACCUUCCACCCCUUUCCUCCUCCAUGCCAUUUCAUCCUUGUUCUCUCCUUUCCAUGCCCUUAUUCCACAUCAAAUAGAGAUUUGAGAGAGGCCUUAGAGAGAGAGAGAAAAAAAAAUCAAAUUUUUUUUUUGAUUUUUCUUGAUGGUUAGGAUUAAUUCUCAAGAUCUUGUACAAGACUGUUGCAAGUAAUAUAAAGAAAAGGUCCCCGAUCC